This 514-nucleotide ribosomal RNA is filed under the name Triticum aestivum (bread wheat). RNAcentral describes it as "rRNA SSU_rRNA_eukarya". It matches the Rfam family "Bacterial small subunit ribosomal RNA", at positions 563 to 872 of the family's 1533-position model. The record is from RNAcentral. Lineage: Eukaryota; Viridiplantae; Streptophyta; Magnoliopsida; Poales; Poaceae. RNAcentral also lists the same sequence under 1 other name.
AAGAGUACUUGGCAUUCGAUCACAGAAGCCGUUGACAGCAGCAUAAAUCACAAGAAUUUGUUUUUCAAUUGGAAGUGGUUCAUAUUGUGGUUGUUUGGGCACUUCUGUAAGCCUUGCACCUCUAUUGAGUAAUGCCUGAGUAGUGACUCACAAGGUAAGUUCUCCUCGAUGCAUUUCCAACACUCUCUUUUUCUACGUACACUUUUGAUUCCUCAGUAGGUAGGGACAACGUUCGAGAUCUCAUCCGACCGUCUAUUUCUCACUGAUUGGGAGAUUGGAGUGAGACAGAGGAGAGUGGAAUUUCUUGUGUAGGGGUGAAAUCCGUAGAUCUACGAAGGAACGCCAAAAGCGAAGGCAGCUCUCUGGGUCCCUACCGAUGCUGGGGUGCGAAAGCAUGGGGAGCGAACAGGAUUAGGUACGCUGGUAGUCCAUGCCGUAAACGAGAAAGCAAUCCGCAUAGCCGGAGUCCAGUUGGAUAGUUCAAGCUACGAAAGAAGACAUGAUGCCAUUUCUC